RNAcentral lists this ribosomal RNA (427 nucleotides) under uncultured bacterium. RNAcentral's name for it is "bacterial SSU rRNA". It matches the Rfam family "Bacterial small subunit ribosomal RNA", at positions 354 to 796 of the family's 1533-position model. The record is from RNAcentral.
GUAGGGAAUUUUCCACAAUGGGCGAAAGCCUGAUGGAGCAACGCCGCGUGCAGGAUGAAGGCCUUCGGGUCGUAAACUGCUUUUCUCUGUGACGAUUAUGACGGUAACAGAGGAAUAAGGGUCGGCUAACUACGUGCCAGCAGCCGCGGUCAUACGUAGGACCCAAGCGUUAUCCGGAUUAACUGGGCGUAAAGAGUUGCGUAGGUGGCAAUGUAAGCGGAGUGUGAAAUCGUGUGGCUCAACCAUACGGCUAUGCUCUGAACUGCAUUUGCUAGAGAAUGAGAGAGGUAGCUGGAAUUCCCUGUGUAGGAGUGAAAUCCGUAGAUAUAGGGAGGAACACCGAUGGCGUAGGCAGGCUACUGGCUCAUUUCUGACACUAAGGCACGAAAGCGUGGGGAGCAAACGGGAUUAGAAACCCUAGUAGUCC